Molecule: long non-coding RNA, 828 nt
Organism: Conger conger (European conger)
Lineage: Eukaryota; Metazoa; Chordata; Actinopteri; Anguilliformes; Congridae
Exons: 2
Source: RefSeq, a predicted model, not a curated record
GUGAGGUCUAACUUCGAGAAUACCGUUGCCGCGUUGAGCUCAUGAAUGACGUCUUCGAUUGAAGGAGCAAUGGGACGCUGGCCAUGUUCGCCUGGCUCAUGUAGACGCAGAUCCUUUGUCUGGAUCCUUGGGCUUUGGUGGUGUUACAAUGGAUGAGACCUAAGGCAUUAAGGAGCGAGAUCUGGGACAGUUUUGUUCAUGCCAUCAGCCUCCAGCUUUUUAAGCUCAGCCUCGACUUUCUGCUAUAUGUGAAAUGUCACUCGCCAAGCGGCUGGCAUGUUGGCUGAACAUCUUGAUUGACAUGAAGUCUUUGUGCUUUCCAAUGCCAUUGAAUAGCUUGGGAUUGCUGUCCACAAGUUCAUCUGCCACUGUGCAUUUUGCUCUGGAGAAUGAUGGAUUUGAUAAUUCUAGUUCGUCAGCCGUCUGAUAGCCGAGGAGGGAGCAGCUGUCGGCAGGAAGAAAUACAAGAGUGGGAGAAAGAGGACGUCGAAUGGCUGGAUGAUGGAGGGGGAGAGGCAGAGGAGUAUGGAUUUGUGGUGCGAUUCAACAUAGAAAAUGGAUGCUGGAUUCCUGGAUAUAUCAGCUGAUGAUUGCCAUAAAUCAGGCAUGCACAGAGGUUCUUUCCCCAGUGUAUAGCAUGAGCGGACACACAGUAAGGUGUGAUGUUGAUGAGAACAUGUGACUGAAAAACCAACAUUCCUGUAAAUGUGACUUUUUUUUUUUUGCGAAUAUCAAAUUUACUGUUAUAGAGUAUUGGAAUUUUGGUUCGUUUUGGUUUCUCAUUUGUAUUUGUAAUGGCUGCUUGCCAAUAAAACCUUUACUGCAGCA